This is a non-coding RNA of Chelonoidis abingdonii (Abingdon island giant tortoise), 72 nucleotides long. The record is from the annotation of a RefSeq genome assembly. Lineage: Eukaryota; Metazoa; Chordata; Testudines; Testudinidae.
GGGGGUAUAGCUCAGUAGUAGAGUGCUUGCUUGCUAAUCAAGUAGUCCUUGGUUCAAACCCAAGUGCCCUCU